AGCAGCCGCGGUAAUUCCAGCUCCAAUAGCGUAUAUUAAAGUUGUUGCAGUUAAAAAGCUCGUAGUUGAAUUUCGGGAUUAAUAUGUUGGUCGUGCCUUGGUACGUACUGGCAUUAUUGAUUCCUACCUUCUGAAGAACCUCGAUGUCAUUAAUUUGGUGUCUUGGGGAAUCAGGACCGUUACUUUGAAAAAAUUAGAGUGUUUAAAGCAGGCUCGCGCUUGAAUACAUUAGCAUGGAAUAAUGAAAUAGGACGUUUGAUUCUAUUUUGUUGGUUUCUAGGAUCGACGUAAUGAUUAAUAGGGAUAGUUGGGGGCAUUAGUAUUCAAUUGUCAGAGGUGAAAUUCUUGGAUUUAUUGAAGACUGACUACUGCGAAAGCAUUUGCCAAGGAUGUUUUCAUUAAUCAAGAACGAAAGUUAGGGGAUCGAAGACGAUCAGAUACCGUCGUAGUCUUAACCAUAAACUAU
Molecule: unclassified non-coding RNA, 466 nt
Filed under: uncultured Archaeospora
Lineage: Eukaryota; Fungi; Glomeromycota; Glomeromycetes; Archaeosporales; Archaeosporaceae
Description: SSU rRNA
Rfam family: Eukaryotic small subunit ribosomal RNA
Source: RNAcentral